RNAcentral lists this ribosomal RNA (507 nucleotides) under uncultured bacterium. RNAcentral's name for it is "bacterial SSU rRNA". It matches the Rfam family "Bacterial small subunit ribosomal RNA", at positions 92 to 665 of the family's 1533-position model. The record is from RNAcentral.
GUCAUAGCGAACGGGUGCGUAAUACAAGAGAAUCUACCACAUAGACUUUGAAAAAUCAAAGAUUUAAAAGAUUGUAUCGCUGUGUGAUGAGCUCUUGCAGGAUUAGGUAGUUGGUGAGACAAAAGCUUACCAAGCCUAUGAUCCUUAGCUGGUCUGAGAGGAUGAUCAGCCACACUGGGACUGAGACACGGCCCAGACUCUUUUAGAGGCAGCAGUAGGGAAUAUUGGACAAUGAGCGAAAGCUUGAUCCAGCAAUAUCGCGUGAGUGAUGAAGAUUUUUUAAUCGUAAAGCUCUUUCAGUGAAGAUGAUGAUGACCGUAUUCACAAAAGAAGUCCCGGCUAACUCCGUGCCAGCAGCCACGGUAAUACGGGGGGGGCUAGCGUUAUUCGGAAUGACUGGGCGUAAAGGGCGCGUAGGCGGAAAAUUCUGUACACAUAUUUUAUAAACACAUUCGUAUUUAUAUUUAUGUAUUACAAAUUUUCUUGAGUAAAGUAGAGGACGGUAGA